This 24-nucleotide non-coding RNA is filed under the name Arabidopsis thaliana (thale cress). The record is from RNAcentral. Lineage: Eukaryota; Viridiplantae; Streptophyta; Magnoliopsida; Brassicales; Brassicaceae.
CGCCCACCCUCUGUAGCUGCAUAA